GACGUAGGGCGCGAGCGUUGUCCGGAUUUAUUGGGCGUAAAGAGCUCGUAGGUGGUUUGUCGCGUUGUUCGUGAAAACUCACAGCUCAACUGUGGGCGUGCGGGCGAUACGGGCAGACUAGAGUACUGCAGGGGAGACUGGAAUUCCUGGUGUAGCGGUGGAAUGCGCAGAUAUCAGGAGGAACACCGGUGGCGAAGGCGGGUCUCUGGGCAGUAACUGACGCUGAGGAGCGAAAGCGUGGGGAGCGAACAGG
This 253-nucleotide ribosomal RNA is filed under the name uncultured bacterium. RNAcentral describes it as "partial 16S ribosomal RNA". It matches the Rfam family "Bacterial small subunit ribosomal RNA", at positions 524 to 776 of the family's 1533-position model. The record is from RNAcentral.